This 446-nucleotide ribosomal RNA is filed under the name uncultured bacterium. Its description in RNAcentral is "SSU rRNA". It matches the Rfam family "Bacterial small subunit ribosomal RNA", at positions 26 to 518 of the family's 1533-position model. The record is from RNAcentral.
AGAACGAACGCUGGCGGCAUGCCUAACACAUGCAAGUCGAACGCGUGUAGCGAUACACGAGUGGCGGACGGGUGAGUAACGCGUGGGAACCUGCCCUGGAGUGUGGGAUAACCGAGGGAAACUUCGGCUAAUACCGCAUACGACCUGAGGGUGAAAGAUUUAUCGCUCUAGGAGGGGCCCGCGUCGGAUUAGCUAGUUGGUGGGGUAAAGGCCUACCAAGGCAGUGAUCCGUAGCUGGUCUGAGAGGAUGAUCAGCCACACUGGGACUGAGACACGGCCCAGACUCCUACGGGAGGCAGCAGUGGGAAUAUGGACAAUGGGCGCAAGCCUGAUCCAGCAAUGCCGCGUGAGUGAUGAAGGCCUUCGGGUUGUAAAGCUCUUUCGCACGCGACGAUGAUGACGGUAGCGUGAGAAGAAGCCCCGGCUAACUUCGUGCCAGCAGCCGC